AUUGAACGCUAGCGGGAUGCCUUACACAUGCAAGUCGAACGGCAGCACGGACUUCGGUCUGGUGGCGAGUGGCGAACGGGUGAGUAAUGUAUCGGAACGUGCCCAGUAGCGGGGGAUAACUACUCGAAAGAGUAGCUAAUACCGCAUACGCCCUACGGGGGAAAGGGGGGGAUCGCAAGACCUCUCACUAUUGGAGCGGCCGAUAUCGGAUUAGCUAGUUGGUGGGGUAAAGGCCCACCAAGGCGACGAUCCGUAGCUGGUUUGAGAGGACGACGGGCCACGCUGGGACUGAGACACGGCCCAGACUCCUACGGGAGGCAGCAGUGGGGAAUGUUGGAAAAUGGGGGCAACCCGGGUCCGGCCAUCCGGCGUGGGCGAUGAAGACCGUCGGGUUGUAAAGCACUUUUGGCAGGAAAGAAAUCGCACGGGCUAAUACCUCGUGUGGAUGACGGUACCUGCAGAAUAAGCACCGGCUAACUACGUGCCAGCCGCCGCAGUAA
Molecule: ribosomal RNA, 500 nt
Filed under: uncultured bacterium
Lineage: Bacteria
Description: partial 16S ribosomal RNA
Rfam family: Bacterial small subunit ribosomal RNA
Source: RNAcentral